GCCACCAUAGCUCAGUUGGCAGAGCACUCGCCUUGUAAGCGAGAUGUCGUGGGUUCAAGUCCCACUGGUGGCU
RNAcentral lists this transfer RNA (73 nucleotides) under Chloroflexota bacterium. RNAcentral describes it as "Chloroflexi bacterium tRNA-Thr". It matches the Rfam family "tRNA". From Rfam's summary of the family: Transfer RNA (tRNA) molecules are approximately 80 nucleotides in length. Their secondary structure includes four short double-helical elements and three loops (D, anti-codon, and T loops). Lineage: Bacteria; Bacillati; Chloroflexota. The record is from RNAcentral.